UACGUAGGGGGCUAGCGUUGUCCGGAAUCAUUGGGCGUAAAGCGCGCGUAGGCGGCCCGGUAAGUCCGCUGUGAAAGUCAAAGGCUCAACCUUUGAAUGUCAGCGGAUACUGCCGGGCUAGAGUCCGGAAGAGGCGAGUGGAACUCCUGGUGUAAGCGGUGGAAUGCGCAGAUAUCAGGAGGAACACCGAUGGCGAAGGCAGGUCUCUGGGCAUUAACUGACGCUGAGGAGCGAAAGCAUGGGGAGCGAACAGG
This 254-nucleotide ribosomal RNA is filed under the name uncultured bacterium. Its description in RNAcentral is "partial 16S ribosomal RNA". It matches the Rfam family "Bacterial small subunit ribosomal RNA", at positions 524 to 776 of the family's 1533-position model. The record is from RNAcentral.